CCCUGUACAACCGCGCAAGAUCCGUUUACUGAUACGUAUUUAUACGCGAUGUACAAUUGAACGAUAUCUUCAACAAUAACUGCAGCAAUAAUUUGGAUAACUGAUUUCCUGUAUAUUCUAGCUGAGGGUAAAUUCCCACUCAUGUUCAUUUAGCAGUAUGACUGAGAAAUAACGGUCCAGUUAAUUUGGAUAAAAUGCUCAAUAUCAAGCAGUCAGUCAGGUGGAGAUACCAUUAUGCAAUGACUAUACACACUCCGACUCGGUCGCUAGUAUCAGUUAGCAUUUUAGAAUGCAGGAUAGAAAUACUGUACGAAUUCGCAUUUACAAGCUAUAUAUCUGUCGUCCCUAGCUGAAUCAAUAUCAUUUUCGAUCUUCAAUUACCUUCGGUGCAAAAUCCCACCAUGCCAGAUUCUGAAUUUCCCACAGAAAUUUAACAUGCUGAGCCAUAUUUUUAAUUAGACUAAUCAUGAAUCCAUGCAUGGGACUAUAUAUGCAUGAGAUCGGGAACGUCUAUUUCAACAGUGGUUCUUCUAAAGUCUUCCCGCGGUAGUACAGAUAUCAGUAGGACCAAAAGGAGGGAUGAUGACUCUGUCAAUGGUGUACCUAGGACGAAUUUAUCAAUUUAAAAUAAUCAGGCAAUAUCCUGAAGGUAUGGUUGAAAUUAUGGCAAGCAAUAGUUGUGGUAAGAUUAGUUUAUUGUUUGGACUAUAUAUUAAACGGUUUGAUUUGUGAGUUGUAAAAAGGAUACCCAUUUGUAUUGCCGUAUGCACCACAACAAUGCUGUGUUUUGGAUAUUAUUGUAUCGAUUUAAAGCUGCUGAAGAAUAGACUCUUUCCCCAAACUAUAUGAUUAAGACACAAAGACUUACAAAGUAUUUUAGUUUAGACGGGUUUUAGGAGUUUCUUCGUGCAAUAAAUGAUCAAAAAUCGUUGCAAGUAUAAAUGAUUUUAAAACGUCGAAAUAUAUCGAUGAUGUGGCGGCCGCCUGAACUUAAUCUGUAUCGCUAUGAACCGUGACGAACAGCGAAAUAAAUGUUUCAGUUAAGUUAUGUACCGAGAGAUAUACGUAUCAAUAUUGAGACGGGUUUCCACAGUUCCACUAGGCGGAAUUUGAAGGUGGGGCUAAAAUGUGUUCGUGAUACUACUAAAGUCACCAGAUAGGAUGUUCUCGUACAUGGGUGGAGGGUGACUCAAGUCUUCUUGUUAAGAAAGGAGUUCGCUGUAAGUGAAGAAGGAAUACAUUGAUCCAUAAUGCGAUCGAAGAAAAUAUAUUUCAAGGGCAUCACAGUCUUAGAAGAAUAUGUAUAGGCUACAGAGAAAAAAACUAAAUUUAACGAGUAGGUUGCAAUGGCGUUACUAUUACGGGCUCAGGCUGGACUGGACUGGACUGAGUCUCCUGGCCUAAGGCAGCCGCCUGAUUAGACUGGAUUUACUAGAAUCAGCCAAUCAGGUUCAGUAUUUAAGGUUAUUAGGGGCCUCCAGACUUGGUGUUACGCCACUGAUUGCCGGCCGUAUCGAUAAUAAUAACUUUUAUAUCAAAUAUUACUCUCUUUUUUUUUUAAUAUUCAUACUGAUGUAUAUACUGUGACGGCAAGACGCGACUAAAUUUGAAUAUAUUCAUGCUAAACCUUUAAGCAGAAAUCCGAUUAUUAAUGUCAUCAAAUUCGGAACAGCAAAAUGUGACUCAGCAUUAAAAAAACUCGCCGGCCUCACGCAAAUAAGUACUUAUCAGCUCAAUAUAUAGCUGCAUGAAUUAAUUAUUAAAUAUACAUGCAUUCGGGGGUGAUCAUUUCAGUUGAAAGCUUUCAAUACUUUGAAAACCAUAGCAUAUAGCUUUAGCAUAUAGCUAUUUAAGGCGCAAUGAAAAUCCGUAGUUUCGUGGAUAUAGCAGAUAUAUUAAACAUAUUCUCGCGAUUAAUUAAAUUUUUAUUGCCUUUAAAAUUAAAGUUUAAUAUAUUUGUAUAUGAGUUUAAGCUGCAAAGCUAUAUCAAUAUAGCCUCUAAUUGCCUUCAUACAAAAUUCAUAAAUUUUCCGUAUUUGUUUGAUCAUAAGUAUAUCCCAGCUGAUGGCUUUCCCACCGCAGGAACGGCUUGGCUUCAAAACGUUGAUUUAAUUUCACUUAUUGAUACUUAUCUUUGUUCUCCGUGAUCGAUAUUUCCAAAGAGGACUGAAAUUAUCACCUUUUCAUUCAUACUUUGAUACUCAAGAAAUUAUUCCAUUCUCUUCAGUGACGGUUGCUGAAAAACUAAAUUCAGUUAGUGUUGCGUGUUAACGGUGAAUUUCGAAAGUAGAUUUCUCAGUAUCAAUUUAUCGCACCUCCCGCGAAAAGUAAUUUUUCACUAGAUUCUUUAAUAAGCUACAGCGUAUGUUCUGAUUACGUCAUCUGUGUGAUCUUUCCUAUUUCUUUCAAUGGCUGAAUGUGGAUACAAAUAUUUCAACUCCUUGACUUCUGUCAUAGAAAACAAAAAUUUGAGAAUUAAUCAGUUAUUCGAUCAUCAUUUGGUAUGCUCUAGUAUACUUUAACUCCGUUUCAUAUUUCUACCUGCAUGUGUGCAUCUUAGGAAUAAUAUGACUGUCAGUAGCGUAUUUCGUGAAUGAAUUACUGAACUCCUCGUUAUUUCACUAUCGUCCCGUACAGUUUCAUAUAAAAUACUGUAAUUGUACUGUAAUUAUACUCUAAUUUUGUGUUUGACAAUGCCAUUGCUUCGCUAGUGAGUUCUUUUAACUCGCGCUCAUUCCUGCUGGUUUUAUAUGAGCUGGCAACAUGCUUCACAUUCAAAAACCACUGUUUCACGAAGCUAGUUUAAAGCUACUGUGGUUUCUGCAUAAUAUACGAAGUGAAAAUCGUACUUUUUCCCCGGAAAUUUACGUAUGAAAUCAAGCCUUCAAUAUAAAAUAGAGAAGAACACUAGAACACCACAUUCAUUAAAAGUGUGUUAUCUAUUCACUUGGAAUCAAUUUUCUUUGUUCUUGCAAUUAAAUACGGUUAUAUACAACAUCUGAACAUCAUGCAGAUUUCAGAAUGUAUCAUAAACUUCCGUCCAAAACACAAACUAUCACAUAUGUGAAAUUCUCACGCUCGUUGACUCAGGUCAGCUGUGUUACUUUGUGUAAGCACACUACUUGUGAACCAAACAACAAUGUUUACAUUGAAUAGCGAUUUCUCUAAUUUUGAUAACUUCCCGGGCAAUAUACAAAUUAAAAGAAAAAGACAUGAACGUGAAACUAAAGCUGGGCACAGUUGCGUUUAUAAACGACUCAUUCCAUCUAUAUAUAUAACAGAUCAAUAAAAAUCUAUUUCCGUAUAAUAUGGGGCGAUACCUUCGGUGAUUGGGUACUUGGCACAUCAAUGAGGGCCCCCAAAUGUCAACGAUAGCCCUGAAUGACGCGGUCUGCAAAUCAGAACACCCCACGUACAAGAAACGUAAAACUGGCAGAAUACACACAGGGUUUAUCUGAAUAUUCCAUGAGAUUAAUUUGGUAUAUCUAGAAUGGCAUCCCAGUGAUCCUUUAGCCUGGACGCUCUAGAACUUUGGUGCCAAAUGCACUCGAUCGACCUUUGUACCUGACACAUAGCUGAAAGAAGUUGACUUAACCCCAAUGCCCCGACUUUUUAAGAUGAUUUGUCCCACUUGGAGCACUUGGAUACGUUAUCGGUUUCGUUGAAUAGGAUUUUGGGUAACGUUGGAUGACGAUGAAUUCGGGUUUUACAUGCGGACAAUUCUUUGGAAUAUCGCAACUAGACGUUUUAGAAAUUUGGAGAUCUGAUAAUCAUAUCUGCAUGACCUUGUCCUGUCAUUUCGAUUUUUCUAUCCCAUCAAGCAGAAGUUUCAUGACUUCUUGACAAAUCUAGUCAGGUUAGACCUUUUGCGUUUGUUGAAGUUUUUAUUCCAUUAUUCGGCAACGAUUUUGACGUUAAAAACUAUGCAGUGUCGUCGUCGUCAUGCAAUAAAAAGCAAGGUUAUUUUAUUACAUGUAUCUAACCGGUCUCAGUUGCUCCCUUCUCCAGAACACAUUGGCGCAUGCGGGUAAUCAAGGCUGCCCGCAUUCCUUCAUGACUUGCGGAAUUUGGGCCGGGGUAAGUAGCCAACUAAUAUAGUAGAUGUGUAGCCUUCAUGGUGAAAAUUAUUGAUUCAAUCCCCGGCGAAUGGAACAAUCUGAGCUUCAACAUCAGCAAGGGCACGUGUACAUUUUUUAAAAUGCAGAGAGUGGGGGAGGGCUAGAGUUAACUAGACCGAAAACACGAAUACUGACACUUUAUAUAUUAUAUAGCAUUUUAGACUUAUAUGGGAUAAAAAUAUCAUAGAAUAUUUUAAAGCUUUUUCCUCUUAGGACUAAAGUAACCCAGGGAAUUAUAGGUAUCUUGAUGGCUUGGGAAAAUGUUUAUUUUGUAGUCUGUAUUUUGAAACUUGAAUUUUCUAACUAUUCUGAAAGUUUUAUCAUUAUAGUUUAUUUGAAUCAAUUCUGACAAACAAUCAGUGCCGUAAAACAGGCUAAAAAGGAUUAGAAGCCUCCUUUAUUAUACUAUAUAUCCCUUACUACUGUUCCAUGUAAACUCUCGGAAUGUCAGUUGUAUUUCUCAUUAAUGAGCAUCCCCCCCCUCAUAGUGAACCACUCGCAGGCAACUGUCACUGGCCAGUGCCAUAGAUUAGGCAUUUUACUAUUUUUACUAUUAUUCCUAUUAUUUGUGAGGAAAUGAUAGAUAUACCAAAAAACAAAAUGGUAAUAGUUCAUGGUUAAACGUUUAGCAAAACAAAUGUACGAAGGUAGUUGAGAAACACAAUUAACUAAACCGUGUGCGUGACAUUUAAGCUUGCCUGUCGGAAAGAUUAUCCGAAACAUACUAAAAGUAUAUUUGCUUGUUUCUUUUCUGUUUCAUCUUUACUUCUUUUGAGCGCGGUUCAUCAAAAAACAUUUCAAUUUCCGGCCUGUCUUGAGAGGUUGGAAUUUGGUAAGACACAAGUAGCUAGGCCUCAUUUCCUUUAUACACGCGUGUGUUUCGCGAUUUAUUUUUCAAUUUUUAGGUUAGGGACAGCUUAACAUCCAUUUUACAGCCAUUUUCCCUUUAAACUAAAAUGUUCAUUUAUUUAUUGAACAAUAAGAUGCUUAAUUGAAUUAAAAACAUGAUCAGUUGCUCACUAUAAAUUUGGCGUAAAAAAAGGCAGCACAGAUGGAAAGCUGUGAUUUCCAUUCAUGGACCUAGCCAGAUUUUUGUAAACAUAAAUAUAUUCGGUACAUAUACAAUAACGGUCACUGUCCAUGGUCGAUAUUGGGUCGGGUUUAGGAUUUGAAUGUUGUUGUUCUGUAAGAAUCUGGGGUAAAACCUGGAAGAACUAACAAUUGGACAUUUUUAACAGCCAUUAAGCAAUAAACAGUUACGCGAACGAUUAAAUUUACCAUCCAGAAGCAGCUGUUUUUAUUGUUCGAAUGUCUUCGAAUGUCUUCGAAGGGCUAUUUCUGUGAUAAUAGUGCUAAUUGGACGCAUGCGCAGAUCCAUCGUAUGAUUGUGUUCAUUUUCCCUUGGUCUGAUGCGAGCAAACUCGAUUUACGGAAUCACAGCGUGUUUAUUUAUCCAACAAUGAACUUGUUUUGAACCCUUUUACGAUCGUCUCCCCAUUCUACUCGACACUUGAAUAAUUCAUUAAGUCAAAUGGCAAGCACUUUGUCUAAAUGAAGAAGAAGUGAAGAGGACUCUUACGGACUGUUGUUGGGGUAACUGCAUCCUUUCAUUUAUUAAUUUGUUAUUUUGGUUUGUUUCUCCACACGGAGAGUCUAAUUGAAUGAUCCUCGAUGUGAAACGCACGUGUACGAAUGAAUGAACUAAGGUGAAGUACAAUUGGGCGUUUCUCUUGGGGUUUACUAAACAUUAAAAGAAGCUUUGAAAGGAUACAUCAAUGCUAUUGACAUUGCGAAGAGACAAUGCAUCGAACAUAAACCUUAAUUAACUUUAAACUAUUUGCCGUACAAUGCUGCAACGAAUUUCCCUCGCUUGAGCUGGGAAACUGGCUGGAUUUUUGGGGACCCAAUUAUGGAAAUACCUCAAAUUCCAACGCAUUGAAGUGCAAAAAACUGCGUUUUGCUGAGAAAAAUGCGCCGAGUUUGGCAAGAUUUCUUGAGUUCGUCACAUGUUUAAGCUCAUUAUCAUUCAAAAUUUAUUUUAUGUGGCUAGAACAUCUGCUAAGUCUAUUUGAAUUUGCUCAAACAAAGGAAACCUAAUGCCUCGAACGGCGUGGCUGUAUGUGCUCAAUGAAAACCUACCCAUUCAUGCCACGUUGUGUUCCGGGUUACAAGCCUAAGCAACGCAUUUAGGCACACGAGUUUAACUCAGAGAUAAACACCUAUAUAUAAUAUAGACAAUAUAAAAGUUUAUAUACAGCCUAGCAGAACAUUUCAGGAUAAUUUCUUAAGAGGCAAUAUAAUAAUGGCCGUUAGCGUUUUGAGGCGAUUGCAAGCUGUGUAAUUAGAAAACGGUCCAGACAAAAAAGAGCACAUGCUAAAAUUUUCCCAACAUUUAUUCGUGAGAAAACGUGCUUGACAUUUCGCUGCCAAGCACUGCUUUGAAGAACAGUUUCUUUAUGAUCAGUCUUCGAAUAUGCCUUAUAAUUUUGUACUUACUGAAGCAAUUGCAUCUUUGCAAUUUUCCUUUUUAAUAUUUUUUUCAUUGUCAUGCUGAUGUUGCCCUGAAGCUAUUCCAUGCUCGAAAAAAUUACAACGGCCAGGGAUUUAAAAUUUUUCCAAAUAUAAUAAAUGGAUUUGGGGUGGUUCGGUUUUUAAAAGGGUCUCAAAAAAAUUGGAAUUUAAUCUUGCCUUUUGUUACACGCCUUAAGACAAUGGGCAAUAGGCUGACCUUAUAAGUAGGGUUUCCAAGACCUCCUAGCUCGACACUACACGUGGGAUCUGUGCAUAAACUUGGUUUAUUUUGAUCUGUGUACAUGCAACUCUAUUAUAAUGAGAACGCUUUGUGAUAUAUUAAUAGUACACAAACAUCGCUAAUAUUACUCGUGUUUUUAUCACAAGGAGUGAAUAGGGCGAAACUGAUAGCGAUAUGGACAGUUGUACAAACUUAAUUUACCCAUUAAUUUUUUUUUCUCUUUUUCUCGUGUGUUUUAUUGUGUGCUGGGAAGAGCAAUAUAGCACAGUGACGCCAUAUGGUACACAUACGAUUAUCAAGAGUUAAGUCAGUUAAACUUUAGGACAGGCUGUGGCAGGUGAAACAGUAUGUAGUUGGACAUAACAAGUUUUUCGUUCUACACCUUUGAUUGCAAAUGGCGUCAUUAUCAUGUAAUUUGUGACUUAUUUCCAAAGUGUACAACGUGAAAACAGCCGGGGAUAAGGGAAACGUUCAACAGAAGAAGAAAAGCAAUAACCACAACCUGUUUACAAAAUUGCUUUAAUAAAAAUCUAUCGCCUUCGCUACAAAAUAUCCUCGAGUGUACAUAUUUAAAAUUAUACAUUAGUAUAUAUACUGAUCUAAACAGUGUUUUUAUGAUAUCCUAUGUGAGAAAAAACAUCAUAAUAUCGCUAGAAAGCAUUAAUAUUCAAUUUGAAACGAA
RNAcentral lists this long non-coding RNA (7552 nucleotides) under Dendronephthya gigantea. Its description in RNAcentral is "uncharacterized LOC114534389". The record is from RNAcentral. Lineage: Eukaryota; Metazoa; Cnidaria; Anthozoa; Malacalcyonacea; Nephtheidae.